GUGCUCGACGAUGAGGAGAUUAUAGGGUACAUGCUCGCUGGACUAGGAUUCAAGUAUGAUGCCCUCGUGACGUCGAUCACCACCCGCACCGAACCGGUAUCUCUCAGUGAUUUUUAUUCUUACUUGCUGAGCUUUGAAA
Non-coding RNA from Brachypodium distachyon (stiff brome), 139 nucleotides. The record is from Rfam. Lineage: Eukaryota; Viridiplantae; Streptophyta; Magnoliopsida; Poales; Poaceae.